This 1269-nucleotide ribosomal RNA is filed under the name metagenome. RNAcentral's name for it is "SSU rRNA". It matches the Rfam family "Eukaryotic small subunit ribosomal RNA", at positions 483 to 1801 of the family's 1831-position model. The record is from RNAcentral.
ACUUCAGAGGUUCGCCUCUAGAAGAUUGCAAUGAGAACAAUUUAAAUCACUUAACGAGGAACAAUUGGAGGGCAAGUCUGGUGCCAGCAGCCGCGGUAAUUCCAGCUCCAAUAGCGUAUACAUAAGUUGUUGCAGUUAAAAAGCUCGUAGUUGAACUUCUGAUUGGGCACUUUCGCGGCUUCUGCCAGUUUGUUGUUCAGUCAUCCGUCUGCAACCCUUCAACGGCCUUCACUGGUACGGGAAGGUGAGUAGACAAUUUACCUUGAAAAAAUUAGAGUGUUUCAGGCAGGUUCUCGCCGGAAUACAUUAGCAUGGAAUAAUGGAAUAGGACUCUUGUCCUUUGUUGGUUUCGGGAUAGGAGUAAUGAUUAAUAGGAACAGAUGGGGGCAUUAGUAUUUAAUUGUCAGAGGUGAAAUUCUUGGAUUUAUUAAGGACUAACUAAUGCGAAAGCAUUUGCCAAGGAUGUUUUCAUUAAUCAAGAACGAAAGUUAGGGGAUCAAAGACGAUCAGAUACCGUCGUAGUCUUAACCAUAAACUAUACCGACUCGGGAUCGGAGGGGUUUAAAUUUUAGUCCCUUCGGCACCGUAUGAGAAAUCAAGGUCUUUGGGUUCUGGGGGGAGUAUGGUCGCAAGGCUGAAACUUAAAGGAAUUGACGGAAGGGCACCACCAGGAGUGGAGCCUGCGGCUUAAUUUGACCCAACACGGGGAAACUUACCAGGUCAAAACAUGGAUAGGAUUGACAGAUUGAAAGCUCUUUCUUGAUUCUAUGGGUGGUGGUGCAUGGCCGUUCCUAGUUGGUGGAGUGAUUUGUCUGGUUAAUUCCGAUAACGAACGAGACCUUAACCUGCUAACUUGUUCGGAUCUGAAUAAGGUUCGUAACUUCUUAGAGGGACUAUGCAUCUAAAUGCAUGGAAGUUUGAGGCAAUAACAGGUCUGUGAUGCCCCUAGACGUCCUGGGCCGCACGCGCGCUACACUGACACGUUCAGCGAGCAAUUCUACCUGACACGAAAGGGUUCGGGAAAUCUUGUUAGGACGUGUCGUGCUGGGGAUAGAUCUUUGCAAUUAUAGAUCUUGAACGAGGAAUUCCUUGUAAGCACAAGUCAUCAGCCUGUGCUGAAUACGUCCCUGCCCUUUGUACACACCGCCCGUCGCUCCUACCGAUUUCGAGUGAUGUGGUGAACAUUCUGGACUGCGUUAGGACUUGUGCCUAAUGCAGGAAGUUAUGUAAAUCUUAUCACUUAGAGGAAGGAGAAGUCGUAACAAGGUU